Molecule: unclassified non-coding RNA, 226 nt
Filed under: fungal sp.
Lineage: Eukaryota; Fungi
Description: partial internal transcribed spacer region
Rfam family: Eukaryotic small subunit ribosomal RNA (bases 1-46)
Source: RNAcentral
AAGUCGUAACAAGGUUUCCGUAGGUGAACCUGCGGAAGGAUCAUUAACAAAUCAUGUUCGCGGCCCUCGGGCCCGCACAUACACCCUUAGGCCGUGGUGCUUCGGCACCGGGUCUUUGGUUCGGCGCCGCAGUCCGCUGUGGAUGCCAACAUAGACGCUUGUAUGUUUGACAGUAUUAGUUGACACUUUAAAAUGACAACUUUUAACAAUGGAUCUCUUGGCUCUU